The sequence is a small nucleolar RNA, 82 nucleotides long. Its record names the gene SNORD79. It matches the Rfam family "Small nucleolar RNA SNORD79". Rfam says of the family: snoRNA U79 or Z22 is found in intron 7 of the gas5 gene in humans and is also present in mice. U79 is a member of the C/D class of snoRNA which contain C (UGAUGA) and D (CUGA) box motifs. Most of the members of the C/D box family function in directing site-specific 2'-O-methylation of substrate RNAs. The record is from Ensembl.
UGCUGUUAAUGAUGUUUUAUAUAAAUGGGAAUCUCUCUGAAUAAGAGUGAAGAGCUUUUUUUUUUUAUAUACUGAAACAGAA